Molecule: ribosomal RNA, 443 nt
Filed under: uncultured bacterium
Lineage: Bacteria
Description: partial 16S ribosomal RNA
Rfam family: Bacterial small subunit ribosomal RNA
Source: RNAcentral
CCUACGGGUGGCAGCAGUGGGGAAUAUUGGACAAUGGGGGGAACCCUGAUCCAGCGACGCCGCGUGAGUGAAGAAGUCAUUCGGUAUGUAAAGCUCUAUCAGCAGGGAAGAAAGUAAUGACGGUACCUGAAUAAGCAGCCCCGGCUAACGACGUGACAGCAGCCGCGGUAAUAAGUAGGGGGCAAGCGUUAUCCGGAUUUACUGGGGGUAAAGGCGGCGUAGGCGGCGAUGCAAGUCUGAAGUGAAAAGCGGGGGGCCAACCCCCGGACUGCUUUGGAAACGGUAUGGCUGGAGUGCAGGAGAGGUACGUGGAAUGCCUAGUGUAGCGGUGAAAUGCGUAGAUAUUAGGAGGAACACCAGUGGCGAAGGCGGCGUACUGGACUGUAACUGACGUUGAGGCUCGAAAGCGUGGGGAGCAAACAGGAUUAGAUACCCCUGUAGUC